RNAcentral lists this ribosomal RNA (532 nucleotides) under Penicillium crustosum. Its description in RNAcentral is "eukaryotic LSU rRNA". The stretch from base 162 to 314 matches the Rfam family "5.8S ribosomal RNA". The record is from RNAcentral. Lineage: Eukaryota; Fungi; Ascomycota; Eurotiomycetes; Eurotiales; Aspergillaceae.
UCUGGGUCCACCUCCCACCCGUGUUUAUUUUACCUUGUUGCUUCGGCGGGCCCGCCUUAACUGGCCGCCGGGGGGCUUACGCCCCCGGGCCCGCGCCCGCCGAAGACACCCUCGAACUCUGUCUGAAGAUUGAAGUCUGAGUGAAAAUAUAAAUUAUUUAAAACUUUCAACAACGGAUCUCUUGGUUCCGGCAUCGAUGAAGAACGCAGCGAAAUGCGAUACGUAAUGUGAAUUGCAAAUUCAGUGAAUCAUCGAGUCUUUGAACGCACAUUGCGCCCCCUGGUAUUCCGGGGGGCAUGCCUGUCCGAGCGUCAUUGCUGCCCUCAAGCCCGGCUUGUGUGUUGGGCCCCGUCCCCCGAUCUCCGGGGGACGGGCCCGAAAGGCAGCGGCGGCACCGCGUCCGGUCCUCGAGCGUAUGGGGCUUUGUCACCCGCUCUGUAGGCCCGGCCGGCGCUUGCCGAUCAACCCAAAUUUUUAUCCAGGUUGACCUCGGAUCAGGUAGGGAUACCCGCUGAACUUAAGCAUAUCAAUA